Molecule: long non-coding RNA, 532 nt
Organism: Argiope bruennichi
Lineage: Eukaryota; Metazoa; Arthropoda; Arachnida; Araneae; Araneidae
Exons: 2
Source: RefSeq, a predicted model, not a curated record
UCUUCCGCAAUUUGAUAAAAGAGUGGAAGAGAAUGAUUCGUAGAGGAAUAAAAAAACAAAUAAAGAAUUCAGUUGAGAGAAAGCGAUAGAGCUCACUUUUGCUUCCUAUCUGUUACCGAGACGAUAAGAUAUACAAUAGCUAUUAAACUUCACAGUGGAAACGAUUGCCGCGCCUGGAAUAUUACCAACAGAAGCAGACGAUGUAGAAGAAGGUGGAGUUCUUUUUCCAAGUCAUCGUUCGCGUGUCAAGCGAAUUGCCGUCCACCCCGCGGUAAACAUCACACCACCUGCCCUUGGAAAGUCACCCGUCGCGUACAAACGAUUCCUGCAGAAAGCGAUUCUUUUUUUAUGUUGGUGAGGGUGUAAGAAUGAUGGAAAGGGAACUAGAUGAAUGAAAAGACUGGCAAAUGGAAUACAACUAAGAAGAUUUGAGUCAUAAAUGAGAGACAUUUCCUGAUUGAAAAGAAAACAAUUUUUAAAAAUUUAAAUAUAAAAAACAUUUCAUAUGAGAAUAAAAAUAUAUGCUUUUGAA